RNAcentral lists this microRNA precursor (95 nucleotides) under Columba livia (rock pigeon). RNAcentral describes it as "microRNA cli-mir-2954 precursor". The stretch from base 21 to 83 matches the Rfam family "mir-2954 microRNA precursor family". The record is from miRBase by way of RNAcentral. Lineage: Eukaryota; Metazoa; Chordata; Aves; Columbiformes; Columbidae.
UGUCUGGGCUUGGAGCAGUGCUGAGAGGGCUUGGGGAGAGGAUUGUAGUGGAGCUCCAUCCCCAUUCCACUCCUAGCAGCUCUCUGGCCACCCAC